AAGUCGUAACAAGGUUUCCGUAGGUGAACCUGCGGAAGGAUCAUUUCCAAUCCAAAAAACUUAUCAACCCACUGUGUGCACCGUCUUAAUUUUCACCUUUCUGAGAAAUAAGCAUUUUUUUCGAGUGCUUGGAGUAUCAGAAAGUUAAAAAAAAUCUAUUACAUCCUAUUUACACCCCAUGUAGAUCUUAUCGAAAAACACAAGUUUAAUUACAUUAAACAUCUUUUAACGGUGGAUCUCUUGGCUCGU
RNAcentral lists this unclassified non-coding RNA (249 nucleotides) under fungal sp. RNAcentral's name for it is "partial internal transcribed spacer region". The stretch from base 1 to 46 matches the Rfam family "Eukaryotic small subunit ribosomal RNA", at positions 1786 to 1831 of the family's 1831-position model. The record is from RNAcentral. Lineage: Eukaryota; Fungi.